RNAcentral lists this long non-coding RNA (280 nucleotides) under Lathyrus oleraceus (garden pea). RNAcentral describes it as "Pisum sativum (pea) long non-coding RNA (PSAT_LNC029739)". Lineage: Eukaryota; Viridiplantae; Streptophyta; Magnoliopsida; Fabales; Fabaceae. The record is from RNAcentral.
CAAAUAUAUGUGUAUGUAUGCAAAUGCAUGUGUAUGCAAAAUAUUUUUUUUUUAAUUUUAAAUUUUGAAGGUAUGCUAAAAGUUUUGUUUUUUAGAUGCAAUGCAAGUGUCACAUUAGGAAAAUGAUAGAUAAGAGAACCCACACGGGUUUAGGGAUUAUGAUGGAUAUUGAACCCCCAUAUGGGUUUAAGGAUAAUGCCAAAUAUAAGGAUGCCUUGUUUAAGAAGGUUCCUUAUUGAUAGGGAUAAUAAUUGGCAUGGGAAACCCAAACAAUUUUGAG